RNAcentral lists this ribosomal RNA (468 nucleotides) under uncultured bacterium. Its description in RNAcentral is "partial 16S ribosomal RNA". It matches the Rfam family "Bacterial small subunit ribosomal RNA", at positions 28 to 507 of the family's 1533-position model. The record is from RNAcentral.
GACGAACGCUGGCGGCGUGCUUAACACAUGCAAGUCGAACGGAAAGGCCCUGCUUUUGUGGGGUGCUCGAGUGGCGAACGGGUGAGUAACACGUGAGUAACCUGCCCUUGACUUUGGGAUAACUUCAGGAAACUGGGGCUAAUACCGGAUAGGAGCUCCUGCUGCAUGGUGGGGGUUGGAAAGUUUCGGCGGUUGGGGAUGGACUCGCGGCUUAUCAGCUUGUUGGUGGGGUAGUGGCUUACCAAGGCUUUGACGGGUAGCCGGCCUGAGAGGGUGACCGGCCACAUUGGGACUGAGAUACGGCGCAGACUCCUACGGGAGGCAGCAGUGGGGAAUAUGGCACAAUGGGCGGAAGCCUGAUGCGGCAACGCCGCGUGCGGGAUGACGGCCUUCGGGUUGUAAACCGCUUUCGCCUGUGACGAAGCGUGAGUGACGGUAAUGGGUAAAGAAGCACCGGCUAACUACGUG